AGCGCCGCGGGGCGGCGGGCAGCGGGCGCCUGCCCUCAGGACGGGGAGGCGGCCGCGGGUCCCCUCAGCGGGUCCCGUUCUGUCACGUCCGCUCCUGUCAUGUCCAGGGCAGCCUGACCCUCGCAGCUGGGCCUUCAGCAGAACUCGCUGCAUCGAGCUGCCCGGGCACAAACGCCUUUUUCUUGGUGGAGGGAAAAUAAGCGUGCUCGCAGAGCGUGUGUAACCCCCAAGGGCUGCGGAGCGCCGUGUGUGAGCGCUGUGGGACGCGGCUCUGGCCGAAGGGAGCAGGCCGCAACGUCCAGUUACACCAAAAGUUUGGGUGUAGUCAGCACUAGAGCUGGAUUUAUUCACAGUGCUCCCAAGGUCUCAGAGAUGCUGUAACAGUCCUCAGAGCCAUGCCACCAAUUCUUGCCUGGCUUUCUGCCCGUAUGUGUGGCAUCGAUACAACUGUUACAAGAAAUGGAAUAGAUUUUGAAGCUGCAUAUUUGAGAGGCAACAGCAAAUUCAUCUUUUUGAAAUCUUGAACCUUGCUGGCUUCAAACAAGCUCACUCCAAGACAGUGUUGCUCAGGAACAGCACUUCAAACAGGAGUCUUAACUGCAGUCAAAGCUGGGUAAGUGCAGCUUUGUCUUUGGUAUUUGCAGCAUGCCUCUCGGCAGGGUGUUUGGAAUGAAGAGAGAUUUUACUUGGGUGGAAAGCGUGGCUCAUGCCAUUGGUAACAAGUUGUGGAGGUUUACAUAUAUGCAUAUUCACAUCACAAAAGCCACUUCUCAGUUGGGGUUGACUGAGCCUGUUGGUGGAAGUCCCAGAAGAGAAGCCCAGGAGUGUCAACUGAGAAGGCUGAUAACCCUCUCCACUUUGCCCAGGGGACAGAUCGCUGUCCCUCUGUGGUAAGGUCUGCCUUGUCUGUGUGUUUCUGGAGGAAGUGGGCAGUGUCAGUCCCUGGACACCUCUAAAUCUGCUCAAAGAGAAGAACAGUUGUGGCAAGUUCAUGUAAUGCAUAGUCCCCUGGCUUGCCUAAAAAUUUUGGGCUCUUGUCUUUUAAGUUGGUAUCACUAGCAAGAGCCUGAUCCUGCAGGCUGAGUGCCUGGAUCAGAUUAAUUCUGAAUUCUCAAGGGCUGCUCCAUGUGUCUCAUGAAAAAUAGAUAAUGAAAGAUGAUCCAGCUAAUAGAGCUGAGAUCUCUAAGUAUCUCAAGGCCCUGACGUCACUGCAGGCAGUCCCCAGGAGGAGACACCGUGUGCUCCCCGUCAGCUCCUCACUGUGCCCUAAAGAAAAUGAUUGAGGCCAGCAAAUGUGUUUCUAUUUCCGCCUCACCGAUAAAGAGCUUCCCAAAGGCUUGAUGCCUAUGUGGUUACUAACACUUCUGAAGUUACCACGACCGCGUCCUCUCAGUAGCAGCCACUCAAAUGUUCCUUAGUGGUGGGAUGGGUGGUUUAAAAUUCAGACACUUGAAUAUGAGAGUAGGGUUGACUGCAUAAGAGUGCCUGCUGUUUUAUCAAAAAUAAGGUAAUGAAGUGCCCAUUGGUCCUUAAUUUGGCAUUGCACAACCUUAAACCUGUGAUUCACUUUUUAAAAAAGGGUGAACAUAAAAAGUAAUCUCAGCUGUUAAAGUAUCUUAAGCUAUUUUUUAAUCACAUUCCCCCAAGAGGCAUAGUUUAGUUGGUUGAGCUCCUGCUUUCUAUUUCCAGCUCUACUUCUGACUCGCUGUUUAAUCUUAGAGAAAGAAUUUUUCACCUCAUGCUUGUGCCUUAAACUGAGUAUAAUAACUGCACAAUAACUUUUCUGUUCCUUCAUCUAAGGAUGGAGGAUGCUCUCAUUCACAUACUGUAUCAUGUCUGGCUAUUUAACAUGUAAGAUCUGUGAUGCAGGUUGGUUGUGUACUUUUGUCUGUUGUGAUGCACCACUUCUGGCAUUGUAACCUCAGCACUUCCAUUUUCUACCUGCCACUUCUGCUUACUACUCUGGGUUCUUGUUCAGCAGCAAAAUAAAAUAAAAUAAAAUAAAAUAAAAUGCAGAGUAACUCCUGCCAUUGUCCAGAAGAACAGGAAUCCAAUUCGUUAACUGUUUUUUACUUCCUAUGUUUUGUGUCACAUUUGGAAUCUUAACUGAUCUGAAAAGACCUCCUGACCUGAAGCCCAACAGAAAUUACCUACCAACGUAUUGCUCAGCUUGUUUUCCUAUGAGCAUUGCCAAGAUACGGCAACUGCCUCUGUUUAACUGGUGGGCUACUCUGAGAAUGUAUCAAGGUGGUUUUUUGUUUGUGGUUGCUGAUUUUUUUUUGAUGUACUACUGCUGAUAAUUGCCUCCUCACAUAUUAUGCUGCCUUCCUAGUGCUUUAAAUUUAAGAUAUGGUAGGUAAAGCAGAAAGAAAAAAAAUACAGACAAAUCAAGUCUUUCUGUAAGAUGUUUGCUGCAUGUAGCCCAAAUCAGGCCACAGAUUUUGACUAUUAGAAAGACUAUUUUUAAGGAUCCUCGCUAGAAGAUAAACAUCAUACCAGCGACAUCCAAAAAGAAUAACUAUGGUUUUGUUCUCAAUUUCUAUCAACUGAUAGUAGGAAGGUCUUAGACAGAGGUUCCCAAAGCACAAGUGGGAUCUUGAGAUGAAUUACAGCAAUAACAAGUGGAGCUACAAGGCUAAGAAAUGCAGUUUCACACAAUGUUGAUGUAUUUGACAACAAAUAACUUAGUGUUAUGAAGUGGAAUAAAGGCCUGUGAACUACUGAUCUAAUUUCUGAACAGUAAAAUGGGAUUUAGGAGACCCAGAGGUAAGAUGAGCCCCUCUCUGUGAUACUGGGUGAUUCAUUAAUAUACCCCAUGUCUCAGUUUGACCUUUAAAAAUGGAUGUAGUGAUUUUCUUCCUGCUGUGGUCAGUCAGAUGCUACAGUAAUAGAGCCACAGGUAGCUAGGAUUUUGUAAUGGUCUUUAGUCAGUAACAAAUUGCAUCUUGCAACUCCACUAUGCGGUCGAUAAUGUCCUCAGAGGCAUGGAUUGAAUCACAGUUUCUUCGAUAUGAAUGGCACAACAUGGGGUAGGAAGAAGAAGUCCUUCUUUUAGUUAUUAGCCAGGGCAAGGCAGAGCCCAGCUCAUGGUACCAAACAAGGAGAACUUCACAAGAACUCUCCCUGUUCGACAAGAUACCACUAUGCUGUAAGUGUCAGACUCAGUCCUUCCUAAAAACAUCCCCUUGUACUGUAUUCUUGCAAGAGAAGAGGGACAAUAUUGAAAAUUGCUACACAGCAAUUCAUUGUGUGCAUUUCAUUGUGCUCACAUCAGUAACAUUCAAUUGUUUUGACUGGGAUUUAGCUACAGUUUGCCUUUAACUGGAUGCCCACAGCAGCGAUAAGAGAGGGAGUGGCAGGUUCUCACUUCUGUGUGGGUCUGUCUGGCAUUUAUGCACAUGCAAUGCAUACGUUUUCUCUGCUACAAGUAAGGAGAGUGACCUGGUUGCCCAGGGUGGUUGUUUGGGUGGAGGAGGAGGAGGUGGAGGAGGGAAGCAGGAGGGUAGAUCAAUGACACAUGACUGCUGAGAUCUUUUCCCAUGUGUGGAAGGUUUAUGGCUUUAGUACAGGCUAUUCUGGGACCCCUUAUAUGGUUUGGAAUUAUUUUUAAUAACCUUUCUCUUUGUCCUGUUUUUAUAUAACAUUACCUUACUUUUUCUGGGGGAAAGAAACAACCUGUACUCCAUUCCAGCCCUUUCUUGCUCUGCUUUGUCCUCAGAACUUUUUCAGACAGUUAAUGAAUCCAUGAUAUAAAAACAAAAACCAAACCACCAGCUUUAAAUCCCUUCACUGUCCCACAGCCUUGAAGGCACAGGGACUUCUUUGGGACAGGUAGCAAAGGACACGAAAACUAACUGAGAGGAGGAAGUGACUGGAAGAAGCAGUAGGAAUUCUCUGCUCUGCCAUUAGCUUCCUCUCACAGUUCCUUUUUGUUUAAGCCUUCUUUUCUGUAUCCUCCUUUGAGCAGAGCCAGGAGCAAGGAAGGAAACGAAUAGAGAACUAAUCAAAAAUUGCAAUCAAAAAGGUUUUUUGAUAAAGUGAUUUGGUGCUAAGGUCAGGCAUUGUCCUGAUGGUUUGGAAGACAACAGUGAGGCCACAGAUCUGCUGCCUUUAGCUGCCUGAUAGCAACCAGUCCUCUGAGGGGGUUGCUUCGUUGCUGAGAUCUCUCAGCUUUUAUUCUUGCUGCUCUGGCUGCCAGCAAAGGUGCUAAUUCAUGCUGGCUGUGAUGAUGAGAACAGUUAUCCACAGAAACAGUGGAUGCAGCCUGGCAGAGCCCUCACACAGAGCACACAGAGCAGCCAGCAAAUGGUAACAAUCAUGUUUGUAAUCCUGCUAAAAUGGCCCUGUGCAAGGACGGUAUGGCAGACUGAAGUCUUCCUGCACCAACUGAUUCAUUACCUGUACCAUGAGUGUGGAGAAAAGAGAGCCCUGAAAGUGAGUCAUGGAGGAUUCUAAAGCAGAGCACCAGCUCCUCUUUGGAGCCUCUGCCAUUGUUGCCAUUUAGCAAAGCCAUGAAAAAAAUCCUAGGCUUGCUAGGGUCUUGUCUAACCCCCAAAUACAUCUCCACAGCAAAAUGUCUUAACAGUCUUGCUCAAAAAGCAGGGGAGCAGGGGUUUUCUUGCAGAAAAAAAUGUAGAGGUUCACUACAGAACAGGUAUGGAGUGAAUGUCAGGUGUGGAUGAAUAAACAGAACAAAACAGGAAAAACGGUGAACAGAGAGUAAGUGGUUGUCUUCAGCCUUUGUAAUCUAAGUCUUGGAGAGACCCAGUGUCUCUAUUAAUACUUCAGGGCCUCUUUGUUUUUGCAUAUCCAGUUAUUCAUACUCGGUUUUGCAUAUCCAGUGAGCUCGUUUGUCACAACUCAUUGACUGUAUUUCUCUGAUUGGACUCUCAAUUUUUUGAAUGUUUUGAUUUCAGCCUUUUUAUUCCCAUACAUUAUUAUUUUCUCACUCCUCCUGUGAUCCUCACUGCAGUCUUCAGACUCUGACAUAUGAAGUUGGCCCUCAUACAUUUUAGGAGCUCUGAGAUUGCUGAGUAUUUAUAAAAACAGCUUGCAUUUCUCUAAGGUUUUCAUUCAGAGAGUUCAAAGUUCAACACACCAGUCAUUCUGACAUCCCUUCUAGGAGGGAGCUAAUUGAAGAGAGGAACUGCCUAAGGCACAAAGAGAUGAAGAAACUGCACGAAGUCCAACAACACCAGAUAUACUUGCUGUAUCUCUGGUGUGUCAUCCCUGAUCUGCAGUCUGACCUACUGUGACAAUUUUAAUGAUUUCUUUUAUUUCAGGCAUCUUUCCACAUCCUGCUUCCCAAAUUGUCAUUUUUAGAAGUCAACUACAAAGGUCUACUUGCUGCUUUUUAAAACAUCAGAGAGCUAAAAAAUAGCAUGUUUUCAUUUGACAGAACAUUAACUUCAGCUUGACUUUUAUUAUUUUGCUUGAGUUUCCCUGGACUGGAAAACAGAUGCCAUAAAGGGAUAAAACGACACCAAAUAAAAUUUAAAGAGCAUCAGAAGAUGAGAUGCUGCAUCACAAUGUGUGUGAACCUGAAACAUUUUCUAUUUGUUUUACUGAAUUCCUGACAAUCACAUGAAAGGGAAGUUUCCAUUUGUAAACGUUUAAGUAUCUUCAGAAGGUCUUACUGAAGAAAGAAGUUCAAAGGUUAGCUAACAGAACUAUCUCACGGGAAAGGGGAAAACAAGAUACCAUGUCUUAUAGGGAAAUACUCCAGAAAAACAAAACAAAACAAAAAACCAACCAUAGAUUCUAGCAAGUAAACUGAAGAUACUGCAGUAUCAUCUUAGAGCUUUCUGUCUGAAUUUUCAUUUACAGAGCUUCUUGCAAAAAUGAGCAGAGGACUCUGCACAGUAGGAAGAAUAAAAGUGUAUCCUAGGCUAAAAAUAAAACUGCACCCACUGGUGCUGAAGUCAGACCUGACUGGAUCAUUUCCAUCUUGCAAAGAAAAAUAAGGGAAUGUGUACAACAACAAUUAGUCCUGCCCUGUGCAGCUAUGAACACCUGCUGUACACACAGUUCUCCCUCUUCACUCAGUACUGGCUUUUCUCAUGCUUCUGCGUGAUACCAAAGUAUUUGCCAAAGGAAAAUAAUGCUGCUGCCAAAAGGAAAUAAAACUUGUGUGUCCCUAUAUAUAUAUUUAUUUUUCUGCACUCCUUUGCCAGUGGAUCCCCCCCUCGCCCAUGCAUAUGCAUUCAGACAGAGACGAGCUCAGGCACUUUCUAUUCCUAUUUCCCCUGGGGGUAUGGAGCGGUUUUAAUUUCCAACCUACCACAGAAUUGUCAGUGAAGGCAUCAGGGUUAUUCUCAUAAAUGAACUUCUCCACCCUCAGCUGUCGUAAUUUGAACAUCUUGGAUCCUUUGUUCGUGAGGAGAGAAAGCUCUUCUAGCAUCACAUCUCUGGGGAUGCUGAUCUUCUUCCCCAGGUUCAGCUUGGAUACC
Molecule: long non-coding RNA, 6449 nt
Organism: Anas platyrhynchos (mallard)
Lineage: Eukaryota; Metazoa; Chordata; Aves; Anseriformes; Anatidae
Source: RefSeq, a predicted model, not a curated record